UGGGGAAUAUUGCACAAUGGGCGAAAGCCUGAUGCAGCAACGCCGCGUGAGUGAAGAAGGUUUUCGGAUUGUAAAGCUCUGUCAUCUGGGACGAUAAUGACGGUACCAGAUAAGAAGCCACGGCUAACUACGUGCCAGCAGCCGCGGUAAUACGUAGGUGGCAAGCGUUGUCCGGAAUUACUGGGCGUAAAGGGUGCGCAGGCGGACAUUUAAGUGAGAUGUGAAAUACCCGGGCUUAACCCGGGCAGUGCAUUUCAAACUGGGUAGUCUGAGUGCAGGAGAGGAGAACGGAAUUCCUAUGUAGC
RNAcentral lists this ribosomal RNA (305 nucleotides) under uncultured bacterium. RNAcentral's name for it is "partial 16S ribosomal RNA". It matches the Rfam family "Bacterial small subunit ribosomal RNA", at positions 355 to 679 of the family's 1533-position model. The record is from RNAcentral.